RNAcentral lists this ribosomal RNA (254 nucleotides) under uncultured bacterium. RNAcentral describes it as "partial 16S ribosomal RNA". It matches the Rfam family "Bacterial small subunit ribosomal RNA", at positions 524 to 776 of the family's 1533-position model. The record is from RNAcentral.
UACGGAGGGAGCUAGCGUUGUUCGGAAUUACUGGGCGUAAAGCGCGCGUAGGCGGCUUUGUAAGUUAGAGGUGAAAGCCCGGGGCUCAACUCCGGAACUGCCUUUAAGACUGCAUCGCUUGAAUCCGGGAGAGGUGAGUGGAAUUCCGAGUGUAGAGGUGAAAUUCGUAGAUAUUCGGAAGAACACCAGUGGCGAAGGCGGCUCACUGGACCGGUACUGACGCUGAGGUGCGAAAGCGUGGGGAGGCAAACAGG